Molecule: small RNA, 256 nt
Filed under: Cryptococcus neoformans H99
Lineage: Eukaryota; Fungi; Basidiomycota; Tremellomycetes; Tremellales; Cryptococcaceae
Description: Cryptococcus neoformans var. grubii H99 hypothetical RNA
Source: RNAcentral
UAAUAAUCAAUCGCAUACGGAGUCCUGUCCACCAUCUAGGCGGUUGCUUCUACUGCACUCCCUCCUCUAAAUGGGAAUGCAGCAGCUGCAUGUGCAAUUCACGGUUAGCAUCGUUGUUAGCACAGUGACCUUCAAGAGUAGUCUACAAGACGGUACCUUGCAUAAUAUGAUUGUUUUCCACAGGGUUCUCUUUGGGUCUAGAAGUAGUAACGAAGAUCAGUUCUCAUGGUAGACAAUGCAGAAUUCUGAUGAUGGG